This 253-nucleotide ribosomal RNA is filed under the name uncultured bacterium. Its description in RNAcentral is "partial 16S ribosomal RNA". It matches the Rfam family "Bacterial small subunit ribosomal RNA", at positions 524 to 776 of the family's 1533-position model. The record is from RNAcentral.
UACGGAGGGUGCGAGCGUUGUUCGGAAUCACUGGGCGUAAAGGGCGUGUAGGCGGUCCGCUAAGUCUGAUGUGAAAGCCCGGGGCUCACCCCCGGAAGGGCAUUGGAAACUGGCGGACUCAAGUCCCGGAGAGGAAGGUGGAAUUCCUGGUGUAGCGGUGAAAUGCGUAGAUAUCAGGAGGAAUACCGGUGGCGAAGGCGGCCUUCUGGACGGUGACUGACGCUGAGACGCGAAAGCGUGGGGAGCAAACAGG